This 495-nucleotide ribosomal RNA is filed under the name uncultured bacterium. RNAcentral describes it as "partial 16S ribosomal RNA". It matches the Rfam family "Bacterial small subunit ribosomal RNA", at positions 28 to 507 of the family's 1533-position model. The record is from RNAcentral.
GACGAACGCUGGCGGCGUGCCUAAUACAUGCAAGUAGAACGCUGAAGGAGGAGCUUGCUUCUCUGGAUGAGUUGCGAACGGGUGAGUAACGCGUAGGUAACCUGCCUGGUAGCGGGGGAUAACUAUUGGAAACGAUAGCUAAUACCGCAUAAGAGUAGAUGUUGCAUGACAUUUACUUAAAAGGUGCAAUUGCAUCACUACCAGAUGGACCUGCGUUGUAUUAGCUAGUUGGUGAGGUAACGGCUCACCAAGGCAACGAUACAUAGCCGACCUGAGAGGGUGAUCGGCCACACUGGGACUGAGACACGGCCCAGACCCCUACGGGAGGCAGCAGUAGGGAAUCUUCGGCAAUGGACGGAAGUCUGACCGAGCAACGCCGCGUGAGUGAAGAAGGUUUUCGGAUCGUAAAGCUCUGUUGUAAGAGAAGAACGAGUGUGAGAGUGGAAAGUUCACACUGUGACGGUAUCUUACCAGAAAGGGACGGCUAACUACGUG